UCGCGGCCUAUCAGCUUGUUGGUGAGGUAACGGCUCACCAAGGCAUCGACGGGUAGCUGGUCUGAGAGGAUGAUCAGCCACACUGGGACUGAGACACGGCCCAGACUCCUACGGGAGGCAGCAGUGGGGAAUCUUGCGCAAUGGGCGAAAGCCUGACGCAGCAACGCCGCGUGCGGGAAGAAGGCUUUAGGGUUGUAAACCGCUUUCAGCAGGGAAGAAAAUGACGGUACCUGCAGAAGAAGGUGCGGCCAACUACGUGCCAGCAGCCGCGGUGACACGUAGGCACCAAGCGUUGUCCGGAUUUAUUGGGCGUAAAGAGCUCGUAGGCGGUUCAGUAAGUCGGGUGUGAAAACUCUGGGCUUAACCCAGAGCCGCCACCCGAUACUGCUGUGACUUGAGUCCGGUAGGGGAGCGGGGAAUUCCUGGUGUAGCGGUGAAAUGCGCAGAUAUCAGGAGGAACACCGGUGGCGAAGGCGCCGCUCUGGGCCGAGACUGACGCUGAGGAGCGAAAGCAUGGGUAGCAAACAGGAUUAGAUACCCUGGUAGUCCAUGCCGUAAACGUUGGGCACUAGGUGUGGGCAUCAACCAACGAUGUCCGCGCCGUCGCUAACGCAUUAAGUGCCCCGCCUGGGGAGUACGG
This 640-nucleotide ribosomal RNA is filed under the name uncultured Actinomycetes bacterium. Its description in RNAcentral is "bacterial SSU rRNA". It matches the Rfam family "Bacterial small subunit ribosomal RNA", at positions 231 to 885 of the family's 1533-position model. Lineage: Bacteria; Bacillati; Actinomycetota; Actinomycetes. The record is from RNAcentral.